Molecule: long non-coding RNA, 339 nt
Organism: Patiria miniata (bat star)
Lineage: Eukaryota; Metazoa; Echinodermata; Asteroidea; Valvatida; Asterinidae
Exons: 5
Source: RefSeq, a predicted model, not a curated record
GAUCCAAAACCUCCCAAGACAUUUUGGAUUUGUGGUUCAACAACAUGCUGACUCCACUGUGGAACCAGCUGUAUGAGGACCAGCUAUCCACCAAAUAGACCAACACCAGGGAGUUUCUGAGGAAUUUAUCCAAGAUGCUGCAACGGAACAUUGGGGAGAUGUCUCCCUGGCUGAAGCAACAAAGGAAGAACCACAGUAGGAUGGCAUGUGAGUUGGAACCAAUUAAGCCAUCGCCAGUAUUAGAGAGUUAUCGCAACAAGUGUGAGUUUACCAUCGGCAAGAGUGUAGAUGGCAUCGGUCUUGACCCACAAGAUAACCAUUCCACCAGCACCUCUGACG